CCUACGGGAGGCAGCAGUGGGGGAUAUUGCACAAUGGGGGAAACCCUGAUGCAGCGACGCCGCGUGGGUGAAGAAGCGCCUCGGCGCGUAAAGCCCUGUCAGCAGGGAAGAAAAUGACGGUACCUGAAGAAGAAGCCCCGGCUAACUACGUGCCAGCAGCCGCGGUAAUACGUAGGGGGCAAGCGUUAUCCGGAUUUACUGGGUGUAAAGGGGGCGCAGACGGCGAUGCAAGCCAGGAGUGAAAGCCCGGGGCCCAACCCCGGGACUGCUCUUGGAACUGCGUGGCUAGAGUGCAGGAGGGGCAGGCGGAAUUCCUGGGGUAGCGGUGAAAUGCGUAGAUAGCAGGAGGAACACCGGUGGCGAAGGCGGCCUGCUGGACUGCAACUGACGUUGAGGCCCGAAAGCGUGGGGAGCAAACAGGAUUAGAUACCCCAGUAGUC
Molecule: ribosomal RNA, 440 nt
Filed under: uncultured bacterium
Lineage: Bacteria
Description: partial 16S ribosomal RNA
Rfam family: Bacterial small subunit ribosomal RNA
Source: RNAcentral